AAUUUCUAUUCUAAUUUUUUUGUACAGUUUUUAGAAAUUACCAAAAUGUGUAAGGAUGAUAGAUUUGUUUCCAUAUUUCUCGGCGCAUGGAACUUGCUCCUGGGGCCAUGCUGCUUACUUCUUUCCCUGGUCUGCAUAAGCAAACGCAAGUCGACGCAGGGACUCCGGGUCUACGAUCCUGAUUAUGCCUGGUUUUUGUAUUGUUGCGUUCUGUUUAUUACUUCAAUAAUACACAUUCUGAGCGGGGUUUUGAUACUGCUUGGCAUGAAAUGGGAGAACAGCAAAAUGUUCUUUGUGGGAAUAGUUUUGGGCAAUUUCUUGCCCUUUGCGCUGCUGUUCACCAUCAUUAUACCAAUUAUACAAAUCAUUUUGAUGCUUGGAGCGCUCAGAUACUACAAAUCGAACUGGGAAUAGUUUCAUGGAACACUUGACAUUAAAACUAUUUAUUAAAUUUCAAAAUUCGUUUGCGAGGCCCCCUAAAUUAUCAGUACAAAAUAAAGAACAAUAGCCUUCGAUAAAUCUCUCAUUAAUCAUAGAAAAUUUUAGAAAUAAACACAGAUAGAAUUUACCAAAAUUUGCCAAAAUGUGUUGUGAAAGUUGUGAAAGUUGUGAAAAUUGGAAAUUUGUUUCCUUUUUUUUUGGAGCAUGGAACAUUAUUUGCGGCAUAUUAAUUUUCAUUUAUUCAACAAUCGAUAAUGUUAGAUCUGAAUCUCCGAUACAGGAGGGGGGACAUAUCAACGCUAAACGUAUUUUCCUUUGGGUUGUGUUAUUUACUGCCAUUAUACACAUUCUGAGCGGGGCGUUGAUACUGACUGGCUUAUGGAUGGACAAGAAAUUGUAUUUCCUGGUGGGGCUAAUUCUGAGUAAUAUCAUGCCCCUUGCGACGUUCUUCACCAUAAUUAUACCAGUUGUGCACAUCAUUUGCCUGUUGAAAGCAAUCAGAUAUUACAGGUGGAACUGGGAAUAGAACAUAGAAUGAAAUACUUGAUAUAAAAUCUUUGUCUUAAAAGUCAAAAUUUGUUUGCGUUUCCCCCUUAAAUUACUUGUAUAAAUAAAAAAAAAAUACCAUUCGAUAAAUCUCUCAUUGAUGAUAGAAAAUUUUAGAAAUAAAUACAGAUAGAAUUUCACCAAAAUUUACCAAAAUGUGUUGUGAAGCUUGUGAAAGUUUUACAAAUUGGAAAUCUGUUUCCUUUUUUUUCGGAGUAUGGAACAUUUUUUGCGGCAUAUUAAUUGCCAUUUGUUCAGCAGUCUAUAUGGAGGAACAUAAACGCCCGAUGGGGCGACAUUUCGACGGUAAAUAUUAUUUCCUUAUGGCUGUGUUAAUUACUGCCAUUAUACACAUUCUGAGCGGAGCGUUGAUACUGACUGGCUUAUGGAUGGUGAGUCCCUCGAUGCAGUCGGAGAUUAUCGU
Molecule: long non-coding RNA, 1411 nt
Organism: Drosophila obscura
Lineage: Eukaryota; Metazoa; Arthropoda; Insecta; Diptera; Drosophilidae
Exons: 5
Source: RefSeq, a predicted model, not a curated record